GCUGUUGAUUCUUAUCCUAACCCUGAUGAUAAGAUUCGAAGCACCAGUUUUCAGGUUCAAGGAGGUGGCAAUGCAGGGAAUGCUUUGACUUGUGCAGCUCGUUUAGGCCUAUCUCCGAGAAUUAUAUCAAAGGUUGCAGAUGAUUCUCAAGGGAAAGCAAUACUGGAAGAGCUGGAAGCUGAUGGGGUCGAUACAUCGUUUAUGGUGGUAUCCGAAGGGGGCCAUUCGACAUUCUCUUACGUCAUUGUUGAUAGUCAAGCGAAAACUCGGACUUGCAUUUACACCCCAGGAUACCCACCUAUGAUACCUGAGGAUUUAUCCAAGUCGAAUUUGUCAUCAGCUCUGGAUGAUGUGAGAUUUGUAUAUUUUGAUGGAGUAUUGCAAGAAACUGAAUUGUUAUCAGCUUUAGUUGUGGCUCGAGAGGCACAUCGGAGGAAUAUACCUAUUGUAAUUGAUGCAGAAAGUAAAAGAGAAAGGGUAGAUGACCUUCUAAACUUGGCAACUUAUGUCGUAUGCUCAGCGAGAUUUCCACAGGUAUGGACAGAGGCCCCUUCAAUCCCAGCUGCUCUAGUUUCUGUACUUCUAAAGUUGCCAAACAUCAAAUUUGUAAUUGUGACAUUGGGUGAAGAUGGUUGCAUGAUGUUAGAAAGGGCUGAAGCUGAGGAUCUCCAGUCUGAAGAAAUUGAUGUCGAUGAGUUGUUCAAGAAAAUGAAGCAGAGUAUUGAUACUGACGCAACCAGUGCAACAUCCAUAUCUUCGGAUAUUGCAAAAUUGCGUGCAAAAGGCAUCGGGACAGUGAGUGGGAAGCUGCUUCUUGGAACAGCUGAAAAGAUCCCGCCAUCAGAAUUAGUCGAUACAACCGGUGCAGGUGAUGCAUUUAUUGGAGCAGUUCUGUAUGCUCUCUGUGCCAAUAUGCCACCAGAAAGAAUGUUGCCAUUUGCUUCUCAAGUGGCAGGUAUCGGCUGUAGGGCUUUGGGAGCGAGAGCUGGUCUUCCCCAGCUAACAGACCCUCGAUUGAAACCCUUUUUAGUGAAUGAUCCCCAAAACGUGGCCACAUUGCUAUAGAAGAGAGCACAAGUCAAAAGUUAUUGUCA
RNAcentral lists this unclassified non-coding RNA (1094 nucleotides) under Hevea brasiliensis (rubber tree). The record is from RNAcentral. Lineage: Eukaryota; Viridiplantae; Streptophyta; Magnoliopsida; Malpighiales; Euphorbiaceae.